Brassica oleracea var. oleracea is the source of this 334-nucleotide long non-coding RNA. RefSeq lists it as uncharacterized. The record is from RefSeq and is a predicted model, not a curated record. NCBI's taxonomy places the organism in Eukaryota, Viridiplantae, Streptophyta, Magnoliopsida, Brassicales, Brassicaceae. The transcript is spliced from 3 exons.
UGAAAAACACAAUUCUAAACGGUGGCGCUUGGGUAGAAGCAAUUCCCUCAGUGGAGGCGGCUCUUAAACUAGCUAAAGAGGCGGUUUGAUUGCAUAUAAUUCUCUCCCUUCGACCUCUCGGACAAGAGGGUUUGAAACUUAAUAGAGUUGGGGUUCCUGAAAGAAUGGGCAUGGUUGGAAGCGAAGUAGAAGAAGAAAGUGCUUCAAUCAAAGCUCUGGGCUCUCUCUUCAAGCUUACCCAAAUCCAUCUAUGGGAAGAUGGGUCGACAGAUACUUGUUUGGUUCCUCUCUUCCACGAACACAACAGGUUUGAAGAUAUGGGAUUGAUACAAGA